CCUCCCGGGGCUGCCGACGCGGCCCUGCCCCGCCGCCCCUUUGUGCCCGGCGCGAUGCUGCGGGGGGGGGCCCGGGGGCAGCGGCAGGUUUAAAUCUCCAGACGGGUUGAAGAAGUCGCCCAAAAGGAACCACUUCGCAAAUUUUGUUUCCUCCUUUGAAAUCCCACUGGACGUGGAGCAGAUCUUCACUUGAAGACGGCGAAGGACAGUUCGUGGAAGGUAAGAGAGCCUCUUCCCCAGCACUUAUACCCUGCCCACGUGUGCUGUGAGUACCUGGGUGUUUGCUCAGGCCCGCAAAGCCAGCACACCCGCGCUGAGAAGUGAUAAACAGGAGACUGUCGAGUUGUUGCUGGACACGGUGUUCAUAUGGGGAAGCACAGGAUUUUUUAAGCAAAGAAAUUAGCUGUUUUUACACACUGAGAUCCUUCUUAAGCUAAUGAAUUCCUCCCCUCCAAAAAACGGGAUGGCCUUUCUUUUCUCAAUCAGGACAUAGCUUAAGAAAACAGCAGAUGAAGACUACUGUGUAAAAGUUUCUGUUCUGACUCUUCUCUACGGUGAAAGUAGCGUGCCUAACUUAAUAUGUAUGUUGUUUCCAUCGAAGAUGUUAGUAUUUGUUUUGGUAUGAAUUGGGGCUAAAAAGAUCCUGGCAUCUUCUUAAUUGCAUCUUUUCCAAAUGUGUUAUUGUUAUUUUGUGGCAUGGUUCUUGCCAGAAGUGAAAUAAAGUUACUCUUACUAGUUUUGAAGAUAAACUAUGUCCAGCCACCAGAGGUUUUCUCCUUCCUACAGGCUUAAUGAAGUGAAAGCAAGAGAUCCUGUGGAGGAGACAAGGGUGGGAGAGAUAUGGGAUCAUAAAAUUUGGCAGAGCAAGUGAUUGAGUGCAGUGUCUUUGUUAGUUUGUCAGCA
Long non-coding RNA from Vidua chalybeata, 903 nucleotides. RefSeq lists it as uncharacterized. The transcript has 3 exons. The record is from RefSeq and is a predicted model, not a curated record. Lineage: Eukaryota; Metazoa; Chordata; Aves; Passeriformes; Viduidae.